RNAcentral lists this long non-coding RNA (868 nucleotides) under Equus caballus (horse). RNAcentral's name for it is "lncRNA (ENSECAG00000043330.2)". The record is from RNAcentral. Lineage: Eukaryota; Metazoa; Chordata; Mammalia; Perissodactyla; Equidae.
AUCGUAACCAUGCUGUGAACAUCAUAAUGGAGUUGACUCUUCACCAGUCUGGAGAUGACACAGCCAUGGCCAUGGGCACAGCCAUGACACUAGGCAGCAGCUGGAGAACCCCAGUGACUGACAUGCCUUUAUCCGUGUGACCGAAGGCUUUCUGCAGAGCUUGAGUGCCCUGGUGGCAGCCUACAAUUAAUACUUCAAGCCAGAGUGCAAAAGGAAGGGCAUUCCAGAUGGAAAUAACCUUAAGAGUCCACCAACAACCAGCACACCACCACAGCUGCUUCUCAGGGAGGACACGUUACUCAGCUGGGCAGCAAUGCAGAGAGUGGCUGAGAUACUAGGAGAAUAAGCUGUAGCCUGACUGGAAAAUCUUGAAGACUGGCUGACGAGAUGUCCAUCCCAAGGUGCUGGCCAAGCAUCAGGCUUCCAGACUGGCUCUCCAGAAACGCUCUGCAUCAUGGGAGGGGAGUCAGACGGAGAGGAAGGGUCAGUCUACCCCUAUCCCUACUCGCAACCAAGCACAUUUUCAGUCCCCAUCACAGCUCCAAAGGAAGGAAAAGCAAUUUUCUCCUGGGGAACCAGUGACAUUGGACUGAACUAGCAGAUGCUGGUGUGAAGACGUGGUGACAGGACCACUCAGCAAUGUGUAAACGUGAGGUGGCGGCAGCUGCUUAAUCACACCUGCACGAAUUCACAAUUGAUACACUCCAGUUAUUUCUAACUUUAAAUUCUGAAAUAAUUAUAGGCUCACAGAAAGUUGCAAAAAUAGCACAGAGAGGGUGGUGUAUGCCUUUUCCAUCCGGCUUCCUCCAGUAGUAACUAUACAAUAGAUCUAUGAUCCAUUGGUAGAAUACUGCUCACCAGACUGGAG